GUCCUAGGGCAGGUCAGUUGUGUUAAAAUAAGUGGAUAAUUGGCUAAAGAUAAACAAACUCAGAACUGCCCUUGUGGAUGAUUUUACUGACUUUGUUGGGUCAUGGGGCUCCUCCUCCUGGGAGGAGGCCCGCACUCUUUCUCUCCAGCUGUGUCUCUGCCUCGCUUCUGUCUUAACUGAGCAAACUUCCUCUGAGUGCUCUCUCACUGCUGUGCUGUCUCUAAUAAUACACUUUGUACCUGUUUUAGAUUAAAAAAAUUUUUUUCCUCCUUGAGAAAUGCAUUUUUCAAUGGAGGCAAGAGUCAGGGGAACCUUGUCUCUAGCCUCUGGCCCCUGGUGGACGAGCGGCUAGGAGUCCUGGUUUUCAUCCAGGCCACCCGGGUUCAAUAUCCGCGCACAGAGCUAAGCCACCCCUCACGGCUGACUCUCUCCGAGAAUACCUGAUGCUGAAACCCAGGAUUUCAAGGUACCAGCCAGACUGGAAUUUAAGCAAGAAUGAGAAAAUAGAAGACAAAUUUCAGAUGAAGCCUCUAGUCAAGAAAAAUCCUUUGGACUCUGAACCUGAAGCAGGAAGCUCAAAGACUCUCAAGAGUCUGUGGUUGCCUAUCAGCAGCACCCCUACCCAGAAAUCUGCCCAGAUGGUCUAUGGAUGUGCCUUCCUGCUUGGGAAGGAUGUCGCCCAAGGUCCUGCCAUCUUUGUCUUCUGGGUCCAGCCUGUCCUCCUCCUCCUUGACCCUUGCACUUCUCCUGCUGACCAUCCAGAGCCUGAUCCUGGCCCAGUGGCCCAGCCAGCUGUUCUCUGGAGACCCCGUGCUCACAACAGUGGCUGUGCUGCUGCUGCUGCUCAUCACUGGAGUCACGGUCAUCAUCUGGAGGCAGCCCCAGGACCCCUCUCCUCUUCCAUUCAGGGCAAGUGA
This 917-nucleotide long non-coding RNA is filed under the name Capra hircus (goat). RNAcentral describes it as "lncRNA (ENSCHIG00000003814.1)". Lineage: Eukaryota; Metazoa; Chordata; Mammalia; Artiodactyla; Bovidae. The record is from RNAcentral.